UAGCCAAUGAGGUUUAUCCGAGGCGC
This 26-nucleotide non-coding RNA is filed under the name Xenopus tropicalis (tropical clawed frog). The record is from RNAcentral. Lineage: Eukaryota; Metazoa; Chordata; Amphibia; Anura; Pipidae. RNAcentral also lists the same sequence under 4 other names.